This 254-nucleotide ribosomal RNA is filed under the name uncultured bacterium. RNAcentral describes it as "partial 16S ribosomal RNA". It matches the Rfam family "Bacterial small subunit ribosomal RNA", at positions 524 to 776 of the family's 1533-position model. The record is from RNAcentral.
CACGUAGGGGGCGAGCGUUGUCCGGAUUUAUUGGGCGUAAAGAGCUCGUAGGCGGUUUGGCAAGUCGGGUGUGAAAUUUCGAGGCUCAACCUCGAAACGCCACUCGAUACUGCCAUGACUGGAGUCCGGUAGAGGAGUGCGGAAUUCCUGGUGUAGCGGUGAAAUGCGCAGAUAUCAGGAGGAACACCAGUGGCGAAAGCAGCUUUCUGGGACGGUACUGACGCUGAGACGCGAAAGCGUGGGGAGCGAACAGG